GGCGUUUGUUAAAUGUCACCCAGAAAAUGUGGCCACUGAAUUGCUAGAGUUCUAUAAACAUGCUAAAUGUGUCAAACGAUUGGCAGAAGCCUCAAAGAUAAACGUGCAUAAAGGAUUUCCCUUCUGAACAUUUUCGUUUUUCAGGGUAGUGAUGCUGCUGCUCAAGGUGAAAUCUCAUUGCUUUCUUGGAACAGUGAGGCUCAAUAUUUAUAAGCAUUUACUUAUAAUGGAAGAACUGUUGUUUGGGAACUGAGGAAGCAAAAACCAGUGAUAAGGCUGAUUUUGUAGUUGACUGCUCUCAAGAUUCAAUGAGAAGACACUGCUGUGUCUUGCGGUGGAAUCCUGAUAUUACCACUCAAUUUCUUGUUGCAUCAGAUGAAGCUGGUUGACAUGCUCUAAGGGUAAUGAUCUUAUUGAUGGCAUUGCAUUUGCUGAUCAGGAUUAGUAUUUGUGGUGAAUUGUUCCAAGCAGCUUGGUGAUAUGAGGAAAUAUAAUGUCAACAUUAAACAGUUUGUAGGGCACACAAUAGUCCUUCCACAGCUUUCAAUCUGCUUAAUGGUGUGUUCAACUCCGACGAGGCCUGCCAACUUAGAGGUAAUGGCAGGGCAAACACACUGGACCUGGGUGAGCCGAACAUGUUUGCAGCAGUCGGAUGAGGGGCUGUGGCCGAACAUGACAGCGCUGCAUGCAUUGACAAGGAGCCGCUGCUUCUCUUUGCACUGGGUAGGACUCAUGCCUCCUCUUGAGGUAGGAACCUCAGAAGCACCUACUACCACCACUAGCACAAUUACAACCAUUCCAGCCCGCCAUGAGCUUGCCAUCAUACGCAGCUCUCUUUCUUUGUAUUCUUUUCUGGCCUUCUCUGCGUUUGUUGGGGUUCCUUGAGUUGAAUG
Theobroma cacao (cacao) is the source of this 893-nucleotide non-coding RNA. Lineage: Eukaryota; Viridiplantae; Streptophyta; Magnoliopsida; Malvales; Malvaceae. The record is from RefSeq and is a predicted model, not a curated record.